This is a long non-coding RNA of Anolis carolinensis (green anole), 8817 nucleotides long. RefSeq lists it as uncharacterized. The record is from RefSeq and is a predicted model, not a curated record. Lineage: Eukaryota; Metazoa; Chordata; Lepidosauria; Squamata; Anolidae. The transcript is spliced from 2 exons.
AUGAUUAUUACUAUAUUAUUGACAUCAAAUUGGAUAGGAUAAGAUAAUGAUAAUGUUAUAAUAUAAUACAAUAUUAUAAUUAUCCUAUCCGAUUUGUCAUCAAUCCACUCCUUUGGGCUUCACGCAAAUCUACCCUUUGCCAAAAUAUACAAUCCUGUGCUUUGACCAAAGUCAAAUUAAAAUUAUGAUAUAAUAUAAUAAUUAUUACAAUAUUUUAUUAUAUAUUAUUGUACUCUUUUUACAAUAUUAUUAUUAUUAUUUUAUAAUGACACAGCAAACAAGACAGAUAUGCUGGAUUUCGUGUCACAAAAUCACAAGUCGAACUCUUCCCAAGUGUCUAGGACUGUGUGAUGUAUUUUCGGAUGAUGCGUUCAGGUCCCAGUCGGGUGGCCUUUUGCAGCUGCUUUUCAGAAUUUUUCUGACCCUUUGUGUGUAUUCUUUGCUGACCACAGUUUUCACAUGUUCAUGCUUGAUGUUGUCCAGCUGUAAUAUGCCCAGAUAUUUAUAGGCCUCUGGCUGGUGACACUUUAUUGUUUGGCCAUUAGGCAUAUUCAUGCCCUCACUUUCAAUGAUUUUUCCCUUCUUCAAUGCCACUGUCGAACAUUUGUCCAAACCAAACUCCAUGCUGAUAUCAGUGCUAAAAAUUCGGACAGUGUUAGUCAGAGACUGGAUUUCAGUUUCUGUUUUCCCAUACAGCUUCAUUAUUAUUAUUAUGAUAUAAUUAUAUUAUGAUAAUGGAUUUCCUGUCCUGCCCCUCCUCUGGUCCUGCCCACCAGCUGAGCUCUCCCUCCCUCCCCCUCCCUCCCUGGAUGGCUGUUCCGUGCCUGCAGGGGGCGCCAUGGAGACCCUUGUGAUGCGCUGCAGCAUCGCCCUCUUGUGAUCGAGGUGACCACCCUCCCCCCCAGGACUUUGUAAAAGAUAGUUCAAAAACCAAGACUUUAUGUUCUAUAUUCCAUAUAUUUAUAGUAGAAGGUGAUUGAGACUUUUUACUGGAGUUUACUGUAGAUUAUCCCUGCACUCUGAGGCAAGAGAUAACAACUUCAUGAAUUGUAAAAUCAUGCUGCUAAAACUCCACUUUUAUGAAUUUCCAUAUUGGGUUCCCCAGAUGUUAUGAACUUCGUUCUUAUCAAAUAUUUUCAAUUGUUUAUAUCACUCAUGAUUCCCCUUUAUGCAAUGUAACUCACUUUUAUGGAUUCUCCCUUAUUUCCAUGAAAUCUAUCUGUCUGCCUAUAUGUAUUUGUACUCUUUGGGAUCCCCGGAAAAUAUGUAUUUUUCCCAGCAGGGUUUAUAUUCCAACUUUGUUUUAUUUUUCAUUUUAUUUCAUAUAAUUUGUCAAAUCAUGAAAUCAAAUGGGAAAUAUUUUGACCCCAACAUGAACCCCAGAUCCUAUGACCCAGGCUUCCCUUCCCAAAAACAAAAGGAUAAUCUGCCACAGUUUAACCCAAUCUAAUUCAGAUUGCAUGGACAAUAUAAGGCUUGAGUCACCGAAUUCGGAGUGUUGUCCUAAAGGUGAUUCGCCCCCAAGGCAAACAUUGUCAUAUCUCAUCCUAAGGAAAUUCCAGGACACCUCAGGAAGGCGCCCUGUGGAGCCUUGUCAAUUUUGGCUCAUCAACACCCAUCACCACUUCCCCCCUGACACCCCAAGGCAUAUCUAAAAUCUGUAUACGUGACAGGAACCCUUGAUUGCUGUCAUUAAUCCCUUUAGAAAUCGGCCGGACAGGAAUUAAUCUGAUCUUUCCUGCCCUGUCACUUCAUUGUUCCAAUAACUCCCGCCUUCCCCUUCCUGAUUGGCCCGGGUAGAGACAAAAAGCAGCUUCCUAUUGGGCCAACAGAGCAAGGCGGGAAACGAAAGCCCGCCUCGUUCAACACUCUAGCCUAUCCGCGAUCAGAUGGGCGGGGGAGCGGGGCGGGAAAUUCAAGGGGCUGUCAGACUGAAACAUUGUAUAAAUAUGGCUUUAUUUUGGAUAUAUGGUACGCUAGUUGGCUGAAUGAUCGCUACUAGUGUCCUUUUCAGCUGAAUCGCUCAAUAAAGACUCCUUGGCGGAUUUUCCUUCAACUUUGGCGGACCUUCUUCAUUUCGGCUCCAGGUUGUAUUGCGGCUCAUAUUCUCCUAUUGGCUCCGCCAAGGUCCGUUCUCUCAGGACCGGAUCGGCUCUCUCCUUAAGGGGCCCGAUCCCCCAGAAACGCGGUCGACAACAUAAUUUGGCUUUACCACGAAGGGACUUGCUUGGAAGUUCCAAAAAUCAAUUUCUAGGCUAAAAUUCCAAGCGGCAACCUUGGUCCAGAUAUUCUGGAACAGGUUGGGGAGAGAAACGGCUGCAAGGAGGGCCCUCCGACCAACAAUUUGACCUCAUUUCACAUCCAAAUUUCUCUGGCAGUCCCUUUCUCUCUCUAGAUCUGAUUCAGGGUACUGAACAAAGGAGCCAGAUAGGAGGAAGCAGAUUUUUAGCUCCUCGAAGGAAAGGCGCCAACGUGAAACAGGGGACGCCCUGAAAAAAAGGGAACCGGCUCCAUUGUUGAGACCCAGGUGGGCGGAGCUCUGGAGGUAUUGCACUUCGGAUCAGGGCUCGGUAACAAAUUCCUGGUGAAACGCGGGAACAUCUGGCACCUGAAGGCGUGUGAGAACAGUCUGGCUUGUAAGAUUACAGGUUCAAGGAUCGUGGGGUAGGGGACCGGUUGUGUUCCCGGGUCACCUGCGGAUUCCACGAACGCCAGCCAUUCAGCCUUGGUGGAGGGAACUCUUGAAAGGACGAGCUGCAUCCGGCCGGUUGGGUGAGUCGUUACUCCAUUAACUGUCAGUGUAGGCAGGGGCUGAGCUAAGGAUGGGUGUUUGUUCAGCACGUCUAGGGUGUCCCACCCCAGCAGACAUCCCCAGGGAUUCUCCAUUGGGCAAGAUCCUGGCCAAUUGGGGUGGGCUUGCAUCGAAAAACAUGGUGCAGGCCAGGUUGGGCCAACUCAGCGCGCAUAAGUGGCCCCUUGUGGCCCUUGAAGGGGAACAGCUUGCCCCCCCCCCCUUGAGUCGCCGAAUUCGGAGUGUUGACCUAAAGGUGACUCACCAUGGGGAGGGCAGGUGGUUCCGGCUUGCUUAUGCCGCGAUGUUCAUGGCCCUAAAGCCAGGGAGAGAAUUGGAAGGGGGGGGUCCACGUCUUCCCAUGCAGAGAUUUGGGCUCCAAAAACAACCCCCCCCCCAAAGAUUCCUCUCUAGACCCUUUCCCCUUACCCCCUCCUCCAGAGGAUUUUCUGGACACAUUUGCUUGCCUUCUCCCCCACCCCAUCAGCCCCCUCCUCCAAUCCCUAUCUCUACCUUUUCUCCUCACCCUGAGUCCUACACUGAUCUAGGACUCCCAAAUUGGCCUUCCGAGGGAACCCUUACUUCAGGGACCCCCCCCCCCAAGAAAUUCCCCUCCAGAGAGUUCAGCCCAGUCUAACGUGGAGGAGGGCUCCCAGCCCCCUCCCCUCUCACCCCGAAACACACCUGAUCCAAAACACUGUUCCUCUUCUCAAGUCACACUCUCUCAGCCAUUCAAUAGUUUUCCAAAGAAUCAUUUUCCCCUCUCUCCCUCCUUUUAAAAAAAAAGCUAUCUAUUUUUGAAUUUUUUUGAGUCACAGUUCAAUCCCCUUUUUUCCCCUCUUCUUUUCUGUUUGUUUUACCCAUAACUCCAGAAACUCCCCAAAGAUCCCAGAGGAACAUAAAUCUUUAGACUGUCAAUUUGCAUUUUUGUUGGUUACAAUUUGCAAGUGGGAUCUUUGAUCUGGCAUUCUUUCAAAAUCGUCAGGUCACAUCUUGAAGUUAGCUCAAACUAAAGGGUCCUGUGUCCCCAAAGACUCCUUUCCCUUUUUCUCUUUUUUUCACCUAAUCCCUUUGGGCAACCCUGCAAAACCCCUCCCCUUUUUGAACGCUCUCUCUCUGCCUCACCCCCCUCCACUCCCCAUCCUUCUACUCUCUCAGCCUCAUCUCUCUCUGGGGGUUAUUGUGUAUUUAUGGAAAACCUUCCAUCUUCAGGGACAGCUGAGUCCUGCCGGGGGCUCCCCUGUUCUCUGAGUCAUAUUCUUUGUUUGUUGUCCUGAUUUUGGAAUUUGCCUGUCUUUUAAAUGUUGGGAGCCAAGUUUGGUUCCUUUUCAUGGUUUUCUUCCUUGAUCUAUCUUUUCUGUUCCUGUCUCUCUCUCUCUCUCAGCCCCCAUCCCAGCCGUUCCAUUGAAGCCUGAUGCCCCCCCCCCAAAAUUGUAUCUGCCCCUGCCACUCAACUCCUGCCACAUUCAGAGUUUUCCUCAGAUGGGAAGAAUAACCCCACCAUCCCCCUCCUUCUCUUGCCCCCACCAGGCUCUCUCUCUCUCUCUCUCUCUCUCUCUCUCUCUCUCUGCGCUCAUUCCUCUCUUGGAGAGAGAGGAGAAGGAGGGGCUGCGGGGAGAUUGUGCAAAGAGGACACUUUUUUUCUCUUCCUGUUUUUGGAGGGGCAAAGGGGGGAGAAGAUUCAGUCCUGAAGCCUCCCACCAAGCAAAUCAAACCUUCUCCAACUUGAUAUUCUGCCUUGCCUACCCUCAAAUUGUACCCUUUUUUUCUUUUCCUCUCUCUCUCUCUUCCCCGGCCUGAGUGAAAAUCUCUCUCUCAAAUCUCAAAUCCAUUUCUCCUCUCCUUCCUCUCUUCUCACCUUUUAAAAUCCCUUAUUUCCCUUUGUUCCCAUUUUCUAGACACUAUCCCUAACGUUUUACCUCAGUGUUGUCUUAUAUUUUCUUUUGGUCCUUACAAAUGGGGGGGGGGGGCAUUCCUUUAGCCGCUUCUGUUUCUUAAUUUCCCCUUUUCUUUCUCUCCCAUCUGGGAAGCAUGGCAAAGGAUUUGGGUGGGGGAGGGGGACUCCCAGAAAAGUGUUGAUUAAAUUUUGUGUGUUUAUGUAAUGUGUGGGCUGUAUACUCUUCUCUACUCAUCCCUUUGCCUUAAAAGCCACCAGCGAUAUAUAGUUUUCUGGGAAGGAGGGCUGGAAUGGACUAGCUUAGUGCUAUGCUCUCUCUCUCUCCCUUUUUCUUCUGUGCCAUCUCACCUCCCUAUUUUCAAAGGUUCAAGCCGUAAUAUUUUGUGACCCCCCCCCCAGAGAAAUCCUGCUGCUUUUGUGGUUUUAACUUUUUCUUCUCUCUCUCUCCUCAAACCUCCCUUAACUUAGGGACAAAGGGGUGGGGGAUGGAAGAAUGGAUUUAUUUUUCUAUAUGUGAGUUUUUUUCUCUCUCUCUCUCUCUUCCACUUCAUGUUUUCCUAGGCCAAAAUGCACUUCAACAUUCUCCUUUUUCAAAGCUUUCUCCCCCCCUUCCUUCCCCUAUGAAGGGACUCCCAGCAUCCCCAUUUCUCCUUAUAAACAUACAGUCAAAAUCCUGGUUUACUUUUAUAGUAAAGGCACUCUUUCACUCUCCACAGUUCCCCAACAAUCUCCUUUCUUCCUUUCGGGUCCUUCUCCCUCCCUUUCCCUGAGUGCAUGCGUGUGAAUGUUUUAAAAAUCCCUCUAACUGCCUUUAAAUAUGAGGAGGGCAUUAGAGUCCAGGGGACCUUCCAGGCACAGCUGAAGAGAUCCAGAGGACCGGACCCAACCACCUGACUGAGGACAUCAGACCAGACUGCAAGACCCAUAAUCCAUACCUGCCACCAUGAACAGUUCUAAGACCUGGGUAGGGGCUCUCGGAGUGCGCUGUGGAUUUCAUGCAGCAGCUAGAACCCAGAGGCCAUUGGAGAUGGUCCUGUGAGGGCUUUUAUGGCCAGACCACCGUAUGGUGCCCUCCAGCUGGCCUGGUUCUGCCCUGGCAAAGGGCUACUGAGUGCAGGUCUGCCUUUGACGCUGCCAAGGAGGCCCUCAUGACAUCACCAGGGGACAGAAUUGGCCGCCAUGGCAGAAGAUGUCCCAGAAGAAGUGAACAGGAUUCUACCCGUGACCACCAUGAGGGAAGGAUUUUCCGCCCUCACCAGAGCUGUGCCAAAGAAGGACCCCAGGACUGCUGGAGCCCUCACAAGGUAUGAGUGACUUCCCUGACUAACCCCACCACGGGAGGGAGGGAGGGGGGGCUUAUAAUCUGUCCUUAGUUUCCCUAGGCACUCUCUCCUUUCCGUCUCCUCUGUUGGAGUGCUGGACCUGCCUGCAGUCACCAGGAGGCGCCGUGCUGUGAGGCGCAGAAGCUGUGCCCAGUUGCCCCCAGCUGCCAACUACAAAGGGGGGCCCAAGCUGCAGCCAAGAAAAGGCAGCCAAAUGGGAGUACUGCAUCACAGCCUCCAUCAUCCCCAGCCCUCACCACCUCCACCUUCAUGCUCCAUUUCCCAUGACUCCAGACCAAGGGACAUCUGCUUCAACACCAUGGGAUCACCCACCACUGACUGAACCUCAGCUUUCACCUCUUCAAGCUCCUGCCCUCCAACAAAAAGGCACAAUCUGAUCUACCAAGGCAGAGGCCCUGCAUGCAGUGAAAUGUCGGGGCUUUGGGAAAUGUUCAUAGCCAUUUCCAAGCCCCGAAGGGGGGAAAAUGUGAUCGAGGUGACCACCCUCCCCCCCAGGACUUUGUAAAAGAUAGUUCAAAAGUCAAGACUUUAUGUUCUAUAUUCCAUAUAUUUAUAGUAGAAGGUGAUUGAGACUUUUUACUGGAGUUUACUGUAGAUUAUCCCUGCACUCUGAGGCAAGAGAUAACAACUUCAUGAAUUGUAAAAUCAUGCUGCUAAAACUCCACUUUUAUGAAUUUCCAUAUUGGGUUCCCCAGAUGUUAUGAACUUCGUUCUUAUCAGAUAUUUUCAAUUGUUUAUAUCAUUCAUGAUUCCCCUUUAUGCAAUGUAACUCACUUUUAUGGAUUCUCCCUUAUUUCCAUGAAAUCUAUCUAUCUGCCUAUAUGUAUUUGUACUCUUUGGGAUCCCCGGAAAAUAUGAAUUUUUCCCAGCAGGGUUUAUAUUCCAACUUUAUUUUAUUUUUCAUUUUAUUUCAUAUAAUUGUCAAGUCAUGAAAUCAAAUGGGAAAUAUUUUGACCCCAACAUGAACCCCAUUUUCUAUGACCCAGGCCUCCCUUCCCAAAAACAAAAGGAUAAUCUGCCACAGCUUAACCCAAUCUAAUUCAGAUUGCAUGGACAAUAUAAGGCUUGAGUCACCAAAUUCGGAGUAUAGUCCUAAAGGUGAUUCAGCCCCCAGGGCAAACAUUGUCAUAUCUCAGGAAAUUCCAGGACACCUCAGGAAGGCGCCCUGUGGAGCCUUGUCAAUUUUGGCUCAUCAACACCCAUCACCACUUCCCCCCCUGACACCCCAAGGCAUAUCUAAAAUCUGUAUACGUGACAGGAACCCUUGAUUGCUGUCAUUAAUCCCUUUAGAAAUCGGUCUAGCAGGAAUUAAUAUGAUCUUUCCUGCCCUGUCACUUCAUUGUUUCAAUAACUCCCGCCUUCUCCUCCCUGAUUGGCUCGAGUGGGGACAAAAAGCAGCUCCCUAUUGGGCCAACAGAGCAAGGCGGGAAACGAAAGCCCGCCUCGUUCAACACUCUAGCCUAUCCGCGAUCAGGUGGGCGGGGGAGCGGGGCGGGAAAUUCAAGGGGCUGUCAGACUGAAACAUUGUAUAAAUAUGGCUUUAUUUUGGUUAUAUGGUACGCUAGUAGACUGAAUGAUCGCUACUAGUGUCCUUUUCAGCUGAAUCGCUCAAUAAAGACUCCUUGGCGGAUUUUCCUUCAACUUUGGCGGACCUUCUUCAUUUCGGCUCCAGGUUGUAUUGCGGCUCAUAUUUUCCUAUUGGCUCCGCCAAGGUCCGUUCUCUCAGGACCAGAUCGGCUCUCUCCUUAAGGGGCCCGAUCCCCCAGAAACGCGGUCGACAACACCUUCUCAGCCCCACAACCAUGGCAUCGUGGAGUCCUGAGGAUUCAGUCUCGAUGACGUGGCUUUUUUCUGGCCUGAAGACCCCUUUGGCUUUGCUUUGUGGAGACAAAGGGGACUCUGUGUGGUGGUGGUUAAGGUCUCCUUACAAGAAGGCAAGAGUCCAGCCGGCUUAAACGAAGCUGUAAUGAAACCACUGUUGACAAACCAUCCCUGGACCCCACUCAAUUGGUCAACUUCCGGCCAGUUUCCAGUCUCCCCUUUUUGGGCAAAGUCAUGGAACAUGUGGUGGCCUCGCAACUCCCGUUGUUCCUGGAAGACACUGAGUGUCUGGAUCGGGCGCAGUCUGGCUUUAGGACGGGUCAUGGAACUGAAUCAGUCUUGGUCUCCUCAGCAGAUGAUCUAAGCAGGGAACUGGACGAGGGGAGGGUGUCCCUCUUGGUUCUCCUGGGCCUCUCAUUGGCCUUCCAUACCAUAGACCACGGUCUCCUUCUGGGAUGCCUUGUGGGAAUAGGGCUUGGAGGCAGUUUUCCUUCCUGGAAGGUCACUCUCAGAAGGCGUUGCUGGGGGACACCUGCUCGGCCCCACGGCCAUUCUCUUGUGGGGUCCUGUGGGGUUCAGUCUUGUCACCCAUGUUGUUUAACAUCUACAUGAGGCCGCAGGGAGAGAUCAUCCGGCGUUCUGGAGUUCAAUGUCAUGUGCUCCCAGGUGACGUCCACCUCCGCUCCUCCUUCCCUCCUCCCGGUCAGGAGGCUGCUCAGGUCCUGAACUGGUGAUUGGCAGCUCUGACGGUCGGGAAGAGGGCGGAUGAACUGAAACUGAAUCCAGACAAGACGGAGGCACUCCUGGUCAAUCAGAAGGCCAAACAGAUUGUAGGGUUGCAGCCUGUGCUAGGCGGGGUUAAACUCCCCCUGAAGACACAGGUCCGCAGUUUGGGACUGACUCCACAUGAGGGAAGUUGUAGUUCACCCUGGAUCAAGACACAGCACUGUGACCCCCACUGACAA